UACGAAGGGGGCUAGCGUUGCUCGGAAUCACUGGGCGUAAAGCGCGCGUAGGCGGAUAUUUAAGUCAGGGGUGAAAUCCCGGGGCUCAACCCUGGAACUGCCUUUGAUACUGGAUAUCUGGAGUUCGGGAGAGGUGAGUGGAAUUCCGAGUGUAGAGGUGAAAUUCGUAGAUAUUCGGAGGAACACCAGAAGCGAAGGCGGCUCACUGGCCCGAUACUGACGCUGAGGCGCGAAAGCGUGGGGAGCAAACAGG
RNAcentral lists this ribosomal RNA (253 nucleotides) under uncultured bacterium. RNAcentral describes it as "partial 16S ribosomal RNA". It matches the Rfam family "Bacterial small subunit ribosomal RNA", at positions 524 to 776 of the family's 1533-position model. The record is from RNAcentral.